Acanthosepion pharaonis is the source of this 114-nucleotide non-coding RNA. The record is from the annotation of a GenBank genome assembly. NCBI's taxonomy places the organism in Eukaryota, Metazoa, Mollusca, Cephalopoda, Sepiida, Sepiidae.
UUACGGCCACAUCACGUUGAAAAACAGGUUCCCGUACGAUUACUGAAGUUAAGCAACGUCAAGCCUGGUCAGUAGCUAGAUAGGUGAUCGCCUGGGAAUACCAUGUGCUGUAAG